GAUCAUUAAAAAUGCGGGGGGGCUCUCUUUGGGGAGCUUUCUCUUCUUUUUAUCUUGUGCACUGUUUUUAUGGGUGGGCCUCCCUUUGGGGGGGUUCAUCCGCCCUGGGCGUGGCUAUUUUUUCCCUCGGGAGAAUCUUGGCCUGCCCGGUGCUCUUUCCUAACGGACUGGGCAACAUUUUAACUAUUCUGACUGAACCUAACAAGAAAAUUGUUAAUCAUAAACAACUUUCAGCAAUGGAUCUCUCGGCUUUCGUAUCGAUGAAGAACGCAGCAAAUCRCGAUAUGUAKUGUGAUCUGCCCAUAGUGAAUCAUCAAAUCUUUGAACGCAUCUUGCACCCCUGGGUAUUCCUGGGGGUACGCCUGUUUCAGUAUCAUUUAUACUUCUCUCCCCCGAAAGGGUGUGCUGGGAAAAAUCACUACUGGCCCCCGAGGAUAUUUUCUCUGGCGGCUUAAAUGCUCUGGCAUCCCUCUUUAGAGUUGCUUCUUACCCUUUGGUAGUUUAUUCUGCUAAAAGCACCGAGAAACUCUAUAGAGGUGCCCCUGCUAACUUAUAUCUCUUGAUCUGAAAUCAGGCGGGAU
This 581-nucleotide unclassified non-coding RNA is filed under the name Absidia cylindrospora. RNAcentral's name for it is "sequence contains 18S rRNA gene, ITS1, 5.8S rRNA gene, ITS2, 28S rRNA gene". Lineage: Eukaryota; Fungi; Mucoromycota; Mucoromycetes; Mucorales; Cunninghamellaceae. The record is from RNAcentral.